UGAACGGUGUUAAGAUGGAGUU
RNAcentral lists this non-coding RNA (22 nucleotides) under Arabidopsis thaliana (thale cress). Lineage: Eukaryota; Viridiplantae; Streptophyta; Magnoliopsida; Brassicales; Brassicaceae. The record is from RNAcentral.